Long non-coding RNA from Oncorhynchus nerka (sockeye salmon), 441 nucleotides. RefSeq lists it as uncharacterized. Lineage: Eukaryota; Metazoa; Chordata; Actinopteri; Salmoniformes; Salmonidae. The record is from RefSeq and is a predicted model, not a curated record. The transcript is spliced from 3 exons.
GGAACAUGAUGAAGUUGAGCAGCACCAGGAAACGCAGGAAGGAGAAGUAGGACAGGAUCCCUGUGCCAAACAUCCCUGUGAUGGGACACAGAGAAGGGAAAGGAUGAGUGAUUUAGAUACCAUCCCGGAUCUCAAAGAGAUCAACAUCAACGCACUCAUAUCUUUCAAUGCUUCCAACAGAAGACACACAAAGCUCCAGGUUGCUGAGCAUCUCAAACCCAUCCUCCGUUAGCCUCCUCAGGGUCCGUCUGGUGCCCUGUCUCCACUGGCUCCAACUGCUCAGAUCCUUGGCCUGCUCCAAACGCUGGUCCCUGUCAGAUGAUCAAUCAGUCAAUAUAUUAAGCAAUCAAUCAGUUUGGGCAGUUCCCUGACUGGUCUCUGUAGGGUCUGAGUCCUGUGUUUCUCCUCAUGCUGCCUGGCCAAUGUGGUCUGUCCCCAUUU